UUUUAUUUACAACAAAAUUGUCUCGCGAUGUACCGCGGGUUUACCACAUAUAUCUAUGAAUUUACUUAUAAUACAAAUUUAUAAAAUUAUAUUAAAUUAAAUAAAAUAAACAUAUACAAAACUAAAUUAUAUAAAUCAACUACGAAAAUGAUCAAGCAAAGAAAUAUAUUAAAUUAUGGACUCGUGGUGUACCACGGGG
This 199-nucleotide long non-coding RNA is filed under the name Capsella rubella. RNAcentral describes it as "long non-coding RNA (CRUB_LNC000952)". Lineage: Eukaryota; Viridiplantae; Streptophyta; Magnoliopsida; Brassicales; Brassicaceae. The record is from RNAcentral.